CCCUUAGAUGUUCUGGGCCGCACGCGCGCUACACUGACGAAUGCAACGAGCUUAUAACCUUGGCCGAAAGGUCUGGGUAAUCUCCAAAUUUCGUCGUGAUGGGGAUAGAUUAUUGCAAUUAUUAAUCUUCAACGAGGAAUGCCUAGUAAGCGCAAGUCAUCAGCUUGCGUUGAUUACGUCCCUGCCCUUUGUACACACCGCCCGUCGCUCCUACCGAUUGAAUGGUCCGGUGAAGCGUUCGGACCGUGGCCUUUGGACGGUUCGCCGUCUGUUGGCUGCGGGAAGUUCGCUAAACCUUAUCGUUUAGAGGAAGGAGAAGUCGUANCA
This 327-nucleotide ribosomal RNA is filed under the name uncultured eukaryote. RNAcentral describes it as "partial 18S ribosomal RNA". It matches the Rfam family "Eukaryotic small subunit ribosomal RNA", at positions 1470 to 1796 of the family's 1831-position model. The record is from RNAcentral.